UACGUAGGGUGCAAGCGUUAAUCGGAAUUACUGGGCGUAAAGGGCGCGUAGGCGGCCGAUCAAGUCAGAUGUGAAAGUCCUGGGCUUAACCUGGGGACUGCAUUUGAUACUGAUUGGCUUGAAUUCGGGAGAGGAUAGCGGAAUUCCCAGUGUAGAGGUGAAAUUCGUAGAUAUUGGGAAGAACACCGGUGGCGAAGGCGGCUAUCUGGACCGACAUUGACGCUGAGGCGCGAAAGCGUGGGGAGCAAACAGG
RNAcentral lists this ribosomal RNA (253 nucleotides) under uncultured bacterium. RNAcentral describes it as "partial 16S ribosomal RNA". It matches the Rfam family "Bacterial small subunit ribosomal RNA", at positions 524 to 776 of the family's 1533-position model. The record is from RNAcentral.